UACGAGGGGUGCAAGCGUUGCUCGGAAUUAUUGGGCGUAAAGGGUAGGUAGGUGGUCUCAUUUGUCCGGGGUGAAAGCCUUGAGCUUAACUCAAGAAGUGCCUCGGAAACGGUGAGACUGGAGUCCUGGAGAGGGUCGUGGAAUUCCCGGUGUAGCGGUGAAAUGCGUAGAGAUCGGGAGGAACACCAGAGGCGAAGGCGGGUCUCUGGGCCGUAACUGACGCUGAGGAGCGAAAGCAUGGGGAGCGAACAGG
This 253-nucleotide ribosomal RNA is filed under the name uncultured bacterium. RNAcentral describes it as "partial 16S ribosomal RNA". It matches the Rfam family "Bacterial small subunit ribosomal RNA", at positions 524 to 776 of the family's 1533-position model. The record is from RNAcentral.